GGACACACCCUCAGCUCCCUCAGCUCCCUGUUCUCUGAGCUUCACUUACUGCAGAAAACUUCUCCACAACUUCUCACCAGGUUCUGCAGGCUCUUCAGAUAAUACAGAGAGGACCCCCAAACCGCGCUGUUGUGUUGUUUUAGCGUUAGAAAUUAGUAGGAAACUCAGAAAGUAGUUUUAAAGCCUGUUUUUAUCCGCCAGCAUGACUUCAUACCUGUGGAUUUUAGUGCUGGCGGCUCUGGCGGUGUCGAGAGCGCAGGAUGAUCUCAGCCUUUUCGAUGCUCUAGAUGAUGAUGAACCAACUCCACCUCCAGUAAAACCUCCUAAAGCUGGAGGAGAUGGUGAGCUCGAUCUAUCUGAUGCCUUUGGUCCAGACAUACCAGAAAAGCCUAAGAAGCCUGCAGGAGACCCAUCUAAAACUGGAGACUCUAGUAAGACAGUCUUUAUUAGGCUCCUUAAGCCUAAUCCUGAUCAUUAUGAGCAUUCACACUAAAAGUUCAUUAUGCAUUAUACAUUAUUUACUGCCUACGAUAUAUGGAUUAUUGUCCUCUAUACAUUAUUCAAUGCCUACUAUAAGUGAUUCACUAUCUGUACUAAAAAGUCAAUUAGCUAUUAUAAAUGUUUUAUUAUGCAUUAUACAUUAUUCAGUACCAACUAGAAAUGGUUAAUAAUCCUCUAUACAUUUUUCAAAAUCUACUCUGAGUGACUCUCUACAAUAAAAGCUCCAGUAGCUAGGGGUGCGAAUUUGCA
Molecule: long non-coding RNA, 750 nt
Filed under: Astyanax mexicanus (Mexican tetra)
Lineage: Eukaryota; Metazoa; Chordata; Actinopteri; Characiformes; Acestrorhamphidae
Description: lncRNA (ENSAMXG00005002067.1)
Source: RNAcentral